UGGGGAAUAUUGCGCAAUGGAGGAAACUCUGACGCAGCCAUGCCGCGUGAGUGAAGAAGGCCCUAGGGUUGUAAAACUCUUUCAACGGUGAAGAUGAUGACGGUAACCGUAGAAGAAGCACCGGCUAACUUCGUGCCAGCAGCCGCGGUAAUACGAAGGGUGCUAGCGUUGUUCGGAAUUACUGGGCGUAAAGGGCGUGUAGGCGGAUAUGUAAGUUAGGGGUGAAAUCCCGGGGGCUCAACCUCGGAACUGCCUUUAAUACUGCAUAUCUAGAAUCCAUGAGGGGAUAGUGGAAUAUCAAGUGUAGAGGUGAAAUUCGUAGAUAUUUGGAGGAACACCAGUGGCGAAGGCGGCUCACUGGCUCGAUACUGACGCUGAGGUGCGAAAGUGUGGGGAAGCAAACAGGAUUAGAUACCCUGGUAGUCCACACCGUAAAACGAUGAGUGCUAGUCGUCGGCAGGCAUGCCUGUCGGUGACGCAGCUAACGCAUUAAGCACUCCGCCU
This 504-nucleotide ribosomal RNA is filed under the name uncultured bacterium. RNAcentral's name for it is "bacterial SSU rRNA". It matches the Rfam family "Bacterial small subunit ribosomal RNA", at positions 355 to 874 of the family's 1533-position model. The record is from RNAcentral.